GGACUACUGGGGUUUCUAAUCCCGUUUGCUCCCCUGGCUUUCGCGCCCUCAGCGUCAAUGCCGGUCCAGGAUGCCGCCUUCGCCACCGGUGUUCCUCCAGAUAUCUACGCAUUUCACCGCUACACCUGGAAUUCCGCAUCCCUCUCCCGGAUUCAAGCUCGCCAGUAUCAGACGCAGUUCCAUGGUUGAGCCAUGGGAUUUCACGUCUGACUUAGCAAGCCGCCUACGCGCCCUUUACGCCCAGUAAUUCCGAACAACGCUCGCCCCCUCUGUAUUACCGCGGCUGCUGGCAC
This 293-nucleotide ribosomal RNA is filed under the name uncultured Acidobacteriota bacterium. RNAcentral's name for it is "uncultured Acidobacteria bacterium partial 16S ribosomal RNA". The record is from RNAcentral. Lineage: Bacteria; Pseudomonadati; Acidobacteriota.